GAGCACUACAAAUAUGAGCACUACAAACACCACCAGUACACACAACACCAAUAGAAAUAACGAGUCCAACCAAAAAGAAUCCCCCCAAACAAAUGAAAUAUUACUACAGUUUAACAGCUCCAACAUUAGUUGUAUAUGUACAAAUCCAGUACAUAAUGAAAAUGUUAUAUAUAUCGGUAAUUCUAAUGGGCUAAUUGAAGUUUUCGAUCUUGAUAAAAACGAAAAAAUAAAUAUUAUUAAUCUAAAAGAAAAAGAAAUUAUAUGUAUGGUUUUUAGUAAUGGUGGACAUAUUUUAUGUGUUGGUUGUAUAUGUGGUUUUAUUUAUUUAAUAAAUGUAAAUAAUUUGAAUAUUUUUUUUAGUGCAAAAGAUAUGAAACACGAAAUUGCUCAUUUGCAUUUUAGUGAAGAUGAUAAAAUACUUAUAUGUUCUUCUAAAAAUGGAAAUAUAAUUAUAUACAAAAAUGAAUAUAAUAAUACAUUGAUAGGAGAAUGGAAAUAUGCUUAUAAAAUUAUUAACAACAAUAAUAUUAUAUUUAAUGAUUUGAAUAUUGUUAAUAUUGGGUGUAAAAAUGACUCUAUUAUUGACCAUGAUGUAGAUUAUAAAAGGGGGUGUAAAGGCGAUAAUAAUGAAAAAACAGAAGAUAACAUAUAUACUAUUGUCGGUAUUACUAACAAUAGGCAUAUUAUUUUUCACCAUUAUAACUUUAACGAAAACAGUGUGACUAUUUCUUAUUUACAAUUAGAACAGAUAUAUACACCUACAUGUAUAUCCGAAACUCUUUAUUUUUACAACCGAAAAAUUUUAUGUAUAUGUAAUGAAGCUUCAAAACUCAGGUUUUUUGAUUUAAAAACGAAAAAAAUAAUUAAAACUAUACAACUACCUUUUAAAGAUAAAACUGUACAAAAAUUUAUAGCCCUUGUCGAUUGUGAUACAAAAUAUGACACAUGUUCUCAUAAUUUUGAUACUAAUGCUACCACAGCAGAAGUAACAACAACCUUCCAACAUAAUAAAAUGCAUAAUAUUAGUUCAUAUAAAAAUAUAAAAAAUGAUUUUAAAAAAAAUAAUAUUUUUUUAUUCGCUUUGAACGAACAAAUGAUUGUAUUUACACAAAGCCCAAUAGAUGCUAAUUGUUUACGAUAUAUUGGUGGUAUUGUAUGUAGUGGUAAAAUAAAAAACGUUCUAUACAAAAAUAAAAGAGUUUUUAUAUUAACAAAUAAUAAAAUAUUUUAUUAUAAUAUUAGUAAUGAAAUGUUAAGAGCAAACAUUGAAGUUCAAAAUAAUACACUAGAAACUUUUAUAGAAUUAAUAGGUGGAAAAAAUAGUCAAAUGUAUAAUCAAAUAAUAGACUCUUUUUAUUAUUGCGAAAUUCAAAAAAAAAAAAAUGAACAAAAAAAAAAAAAACAUACCAUCCAAAAAUUGUUAAAUGUGUUAUCCAUUGAAUAUAUAUUUGCUUCAAUCAAUGUAUUCUUAUCAAAAUUCGAAAUACAAAAUAUAAUACAAGAAUACCAUUUUUAUUAUAAAUAUGUUAUUCCGUUGAUUAAAAAUAACAAAAAAGUUAAUCAAAUUUUACAAAUGGAGGAUAAAAACUUAAUAAGUUACAACUCAGACUGUGAUAUUCUGUUAGAAAAUGUGUAUUUUGUCCAUUCAAAUGAGGAAAAAGGUAAUGUUAGUUGUGCCGUUACAAUGCCCUAGUUAUGUAAUACUUUCUAUGUAUUGAAAAAAUGGGAAAGUGUACAUAUGUAUUACUCGG
RNAcentral lists this long non-coding RNA (1751 nucleotides) under Piliocolobus tephrosceles (Ugandan red Colobus). Its description in RNAcentral is "lncRNA (ENSPTEG00000007587.1)". The record is from RNAcentral. Lineage: Eukaryota; Metazoa; Chordata; Mammalia; Primates; Cercopithecidae.